GGGCUCCCACCAGCAGCACAUUCCCUAAAAAUUGGAACAACACAGAGAGGAUUAGCAUGGCCCCUGUGUAAGCAUGACAUGCAAAUUCAUAAAGCUUUCCAUAUUUCA
Small nuclear RNA from Nannospalax galili (Upper Galilee mountains blind mole rat), 108 nucleotides. Lineage: Eukaryota; Metazoa; Chordata; Mammalia; Rodentia; Spalacidae. The record is from Ensembl.